This is a long non-coding RNA of Sapajus apella (tufted capuchin), 1089 nucleotides long. RefSeq lists it as uncharacterized. The transcript has 2 exons. The record is from RefSeq and is a predicted model, not a curated record. Lineage: Eukaryota; Metazoa; Chordata; Mammalia; Primates; Cebidae.
ACUAGUCUCUGGGACCUUUUAAGAAAGUCUCCCAGGAAACAAAGGGGAAAGAAUGGGGCUUUUGCAGAUGAAGGUAUCAUGUUAACUAUUUGUGUUUGGAAAGUGAUGCUGUGUAAUGUAGAUCAUUUUAAUAAAAUUUUUCUUUACUGCUCAUGAUAAAAUUUAAGGUAAUAGAGAGGUAUAGAAAGUAAGAGUCCAGUCUUCACAUCACCCACCCCCUCAUUCUACUCUUACUUGUCACCAUUAUUAGGAAUUUAGUCUAUUUCCUUUUAGACUUUUUCUGUGCAGAUAUAAACAUAGCCAGUUGGGUUUUGUGGCUGUUUUUUCAGAAAUGAAAUUAUACUGUACAUACUGUUAUAAAAUGAAGGUUUUUCAGAACUUGGCUCAGUGUAUGGUGGCUGUGCAUACCUGUAGAUGCAUGGCUCUACCAUAUCUACUUACCAUAAUCUACUUAACUAUUGAUGAAGUUUAAGGUUUUUGCUUAUAUGAAUACUGUUCAUGUGUUUCAGUUAGCCUUACUAACACAGUUAUAUUCAUCUUUAACUUUUUUUUUUUUUUUACCUAUUUGGUAAGUAAAAAAUGGCUCAUUGUCAUAACUUGCACUUCCUCAGUGAGACUGAACAUGUUCCUUAUGUUAGCCAUUUGUACUUCUAUGAAUUAGAUAUUAUUUUUCUUUGGGUUGUUUGUGUCUUUUAAUUGGUUUGAGAUCUUUAUAUAUUAUAGACAUUAACUCUUAAUUUGCAAAUAUUUCUUACAGUUGAUCAUUUCUUAUUUGUGAUGGAGUUUUUCCUUACAGAAGUUUUAUUUUUGUAUGUUGUCAGAUCUGUCAAACAUUUAUAGCUCUUGAAUUUGGAGGCAUGCUUGCAAUGUGUUGCUAUGGUUUAAUAGUCUAAGUGUAAUGAUCUUAAUUCAGUGAUUCCUAAUAGUGUAUCGGAAUAGUUUAGGGGAAUUUUUUCAAUACAUAGGCUACGGUUUCCAACUAAGAUAUUCUUUCUUGGUGAAGUGUGGGGUCCAAAUUUGUGGGGUUUGGUUUGGUUUGUUUUGGAGAGAAAGGAAGAAGCUCCCUGAUUCUGAUGUGAAACCCUAGUU